This 378-nucleotide ribosomal RNA is filed under the name Agathomyia unicolor. RNAcentral's name for it is "partial 16S ribosomal RNA". The record is from RNAcentral. Lineage: Eukaryota; Metazoa; Arthropoda; Insecta; Diptera; Platypezidae.
AAGGUAGCAUAAUCAGUAGUCUUUUAAUUGGAGGCUGGUAUGAAUGGUUGGACGAGAUAUUAACUGUUUCAUUUAAAAUUUUAUAGAAUUUUAUUUUUUAGUUAAAAAGCUAAAAUAAAAUUAAAAGACGAGAAGACCCUAUAAAUCUUUAUAUUUAUUUUAUUUUAAUUAUAAAGAUUAUUUUAAUUAUAAUUAAAAUAAAUAUUUUAUUGGGGUGAUAUUAAAAUUUAAUAAACUUUUAAUUUUUAAUAACAUUAAUUUAUGAUUAAUUGAUCCAUUAUUAAUGAUUAAAAAUUUAAGUUACUUUAGGGAUAACAGCGUAAUUUUUUUGGAGAGUUCAUAUCGAUAAAAAAGAUUGCGACCUCGAUGUUGGAUUAA